This 69-nucleotide transfer RNA is filed under the name Acropyga donisthorpei. RNAcentral's name for it is "tRNA-His". The record is from RNAcentral. Lineage: Eukaryota; Metazoa; Arthropoda; Insecta; Hymenoptera; Formicidae.
AUUUAAGUAGUUUAAUUUUUAAAAAUAUUAAUUUGUGGGGUUAAAGAAAUAAAAUAUUUAUCUUAAAUA